AUUGAACGCUGGCGGAAUGCUUUACACAUGCAAGUCGAACGGUAGAGGGGGCAACCCCUCGAGAGUGGCGAACGGGUGAGUAAUAUAUCGGAACGUGCCCAGUCGUGGGGGAUAACGUAGCGAAAGUUACGCUAAUACCGCAUACGAUCUACGGAUGCAAGCGGGGGAUCGCAAGACCCCGCGCGAUUGGAGCGGCCGAUAUCAGAUUAGGUAGUUGGUGGGGUAAAGGCUCACCAAGCCAACGAUCUGUAGCUGGUCUGAGAGGACGACCAGCCACACUGGAACUGAGACACGGUCCAGACUCCUACGGGAGGCAGCAGUGGGGAAUUUUGGGCAAUGGACGCAAGUCUGAUCCAGCCAUUCCGCGUGCAGGAUGAAGGCCCUCGGGUUGUAAACUGCUUUUGUACGGAACGAAAAGGUUUCCAUUAAUACUGGGAGCUCAUGACGGUACCGUAAGAAUAAGCACCGGCUAACUACGUGCCAGCAGCCGCCGUAA
RNAcentral lists this ribosomal RNA (496 nucleotides) under uncultured bacterium. RNAcentral's name for it is "partial 16S ribosomal RNA". It matches the Rfam family "Bacterial small subunit ribosomal RNA", at positions 30 to 523 of the family's 1533-position model. The record is from RNAcentral.